This 702-nucleotide ribosomal RNA is filed under the name Gammarus nipponensis. RNAcentral's name for it is "partial 28S rRNA". It matches the Rfam family "Eukaryotic large subunit ribosomal RNA", at positions 307 to 669 of the family's 3401-position model. The record is from RNAcentral. Lineage: Eukaryota; Metazoa; Arthropoda; Malacostraca; Amphipoda; Gammaridae.
GAUCUAAGGCUAAAUAUCUCCACAGAACCGAUAGCGAACAAGUACCGUGAGGGAAAGUUGAAAAGCACUCUGGAGAGAGAGUCAAAAGACCGUGAAACCGCUCAGAGUAUAAGCCCAUGGCAGCUUGGAAGGCAUAUCGCUAGCGGGGCAUCGGUCUCCCUUCACGGGGAGCUGGUGUUACCUUGCUUCUGUUGUGGCUCGUCACGGUAGGGGGGUCAAGUCCACAUCCCGCCGACGUGUGGGGAGUUCUCGGGCGUGUUGGGUUGUUCGGUCGACCUCGGUUGGCCGCUUCGGCCCUUCGCGCUUGGUUCUCUUUCAACACGGACGUUCAGACUCAGAGGCAAGACGCGAUAAACAGCCCACCACGGCACGUUGUGAGGUCACCCACAGGCUCAACUUUUGAUUGUGAUCCUUGACGCCGAGCAAGCACAAUGCGUGUCGCAGAUGUUCCUAACCCGGCGCAACACAACGCCAGGAUCGUGGAACGACACGCGCUCAACAGUCAGGAUCGGGCGAUGGCAGAGUUCUGGUAUGAUCCUCUUGCGACGAGCCGGCUUCUGGCCAAAUUCCGAUGCUCAGGUCUCCCGCAUGUGCCGCGGGAGAUCGCCUCGACGGCCUGGACGAGAGAGUCCUCUCAGUCGGGCAACGGAAAGAGUGGUGUAAAGUCCAAGCCCAUCGGUCACGUCUCGAAACACGGGCCAA